GAUGAAGAACGCAGCGAAAUGCGAUAAGUAAUGUGAAUUGCAGAAUUCAGAGAAUCAUCGAAUCUUUGAACGCACAUUGCGCCCGCCAGCAUUCUGGCGGGCAUGCCUGUUCGAGCGUCAUUUCAACCCUCGAGCCCCCCCGGGGGCCUCGGUGUUGGGGGACGGCACACCAGCCGCCCCCGAAAUGCAGUGGCGACCCCGCCGCAGCCUCCCCUGCGUAGUAGCACACACCUCGCACCGGAGCGCGGAGGCGGUCACGCCGUAAAACGCCCAACUUUCUUAGAGUUGACCUCGGAUCAGGUAGGAAUACCCGCUGAACUUAAGCAUAUCAAUAAGCGGAGGA
RNAcentral lists this unclassified non-coding RNA (343 nucleotides) under soil metagenome. RNAcentral's name for it is "partial contains 5.8S ribosomal RNA, internal transcribed spacer 2, and large subunit ribosomal RNA". The stretch from base 1 to 120 matches the Rfam family "5.8S ribosomal RNA", at positions 35 to 154 of the family's 154-position model. The record is from RNAcentral.